Molecule: ribosomal RNA, 770 nt
Filed under: uncultured bacterium
Lineage: Bacteria
Description: bacterial SSU rRNA
Rfam family: Bacterial small subunit ribosomal RNA
Source: RNAcentral
UAAUGCUUAGGAAUCUACCGAGUAGUGGGGGAUAGCCAUUGGAAACGAUGAUUAAUACCGCAUAUAUCCUACGGGGGAAAGCAGGGGACCUUCCGGGCCUUGCGCUAUUCGAUGAGCCUGAGUGAGAUUAGCUAGUUGGUGGGGUAAAGGCCUACCAAGGCGACGAUCUCUAGCUGGUCUGAGAGGAUGAUCAGCCACACUGGGACUGAGACACGGCCCAGACUCCUACGGGAGGCAGCAGUGGGGAAUAUUGCACAAUGGGCGAAAGCCUGAUAUGCAGCCAUGUCGCGUGUGUGAAGAAGGCCUUCGGGUUGUAAAGCACUUUCAGCGAGGAGGAAAGGUCAGUAAGUAAUAUUUGCUGGCUGUGACGUUACUCGCAGAAGAAGCACCGGCUAAUUUAGUGCCAGCAGCCGCGGUAAUACUAAAGGUGCAAGCGUUAAUCGGAAUUACUGGGCGUAAAGCGCGCGUAGGUGGUUUGUUAAGUUGGAUGUGAAAGCCCAGGGCUCAACCUUGGAACUGCAUUCAAAACUGACUCACUAGAGUACGAGAGAGGUUAGUGGAAUUUCCUGUGUAGCGGUGAAAUGCAUAGAUAUGUCAUGGAACACCAAUAGUGAAGACAGCUCACUAAGCCAAUAUUGACACUGAUGAACGAAAGCAUGGGUAGCGAACAGGAUUAGAUACCCUGGUAGUCCACGCCGUAAACGAUGUCUACUAGCCGUUGGGGAACUUGAUUCCUUAGUGGCGCAGCUAACGCGAUAAGUAGACCGCCU